Molecule: long non-coding RNA, 424 nt
Organism: Rhipicephalus sanguineus (brown dog tick)
Lineage: Eukaryota; Metazoa; Arthropoda; Arachnida; Ixodida; Ixodidae
Exons: 2
Source: RefSeq, a predicted model, not a curated record
CCAGUCCCACCGGUCCGACCAAGUUUGGCUGGUUUGGUACGAGUGAUUCCGAAACCACUCAUCCGGCUGCGUGAGUCCUGUUAGCUUUUCAGCGUAGUGCGAUCGAAUCUGCGUGUCGACGAUGAGCAGUACUGUUGAUGUUCAGGAGCCUAUUCUCAGAAGGCACUUGCAGGACUUAAAGCAUGAAGAUGGCAUUUGGUCUGGAUACCUAAAAUCGGAAGAAGAGCUGAAACAACUGGAACGAUCGCUGGCUGCUGCCAACCUGAAAUUUGCUGUUCGUUCAUCACGCAGAAAGGCGGGUAAAGUUGUGUUCAGCACAGUAAACGGCGGUGUUCCAAUUCAUUUGGACCUUGUGCCCUUCCGAGUGCUUGGGGAUGUAACAAAACAGUGCAUCUUUGGAGAAGAGUACUACAAAAAGUCUGAU